GACACUUGAGCAGUGAGUAUGGUUCCCCUGCAGCUCCCUUCUGACACAUGAUUACGGUUGGUGAUUAUUUUUUCCUGUUGUGCCUCCUUACAGACUGAGUGUCUGACACAUGUACAGAGCCCACAAGCUGCCAUGAGCUAUUUCUACAUGUAACUAGGUGACUACGCCUUGCAGCUUCCCCUACGUUAUAGGCUUUUUAACUUCAUUAUGUGAUCAGGCAUGUUGCCAACUUUGAAGGCCAUUCCACACAUCUGAGUGAUCUGGCUUGCCGUCCAGGUGAUUUAAGUGCCAAUCUUGAUAAAGGUCCGCAUAAGGACCGAAACGUCGAUGAAAUACGGCAUCAACAGUGAACCCGAAUAAAAAUAUACUGAAUUUACAAGUGACUUCAGAGACUAAUUUCUGGGCGUGAGUGCACCUUCCACCUAGGUGGUUGUUGUGGUAUAUUGGUGGCCUCUCUGGUCAUUAGGAGCACCCGCCGUCGUUAUUACUUUUGAUGAGAGUGCAGGAUCUUCC
Long non-coding RNA from Pseudophryne corroboree (corroboree frog), 513 nucleotides. RefSeq lists it as uncharacterized. Lineage: Eukaryota; Metazoa; Chordata; Amphibia; Anura; Myobatrachidae. The record is from RefSeq and is a predicted model, not a curated record. The transcript is spliced from 3 exons.